Molecule: ribosomal RNA, 429 nt
Filed under: Gemmatimonadota bacterium
Lineage: Bacteria; Pseudomonadati; Gemmatimonadota
Description: Gemmatimonadetes bacterium partial 16S ribosomal RNA
Rfam family: Bacterial small subunit ribosomal RNA
Source: RNAcentral
UAGGGAAUCUACGGCAAUGGACGAAAGUCUGACCGAGCAACGCCGCGUGAGUGAAGAAGGUUCUCGGAUCGUAAAACUCUGUUGUUAGAGAAGAACAAGGACGUUAGUAACUGAACGUCCCCUGACGGUAUCUAACCAGAAAGCCACGGCUAACUACGUGCCAGCAGCCGCGGUAAUACGUAGGUGGCAAGCGCUGUCCGGAUUUAUUGGGCGUAAAGCGAGCGCAGGCGGUUUCUUAAGUCUGAUGUGAAAGCCCCCGGCUCAACCGGGGAGGGUCAUUGGAAACUGGGAGACUUGAGUGCAGAAGAGCGGAGUUGAAUUCCAUGUGUAGAGGUGAAAUGCGUAGAUAUAUGGAGGAACACCAGUGGCGAAGGCGGCUUUCUGGUCUGUAACUGACGCUGAGGCUCGAAAGCGUGGGGAGCAAACAGG